CUGCAACUCGACUGCGUGAAGGUGGAGUCGCUAGUAAUCGCGGAUCAGCAACGCCGCGGUGAAUGCGUUCCCGGGCCUUGUACACACCGCCCGUCAAGUCAUGAAAGUGGGCAGCACCCGAAGACGGUGGCCUAACCCUUGUGGGGGGAGCCGUCUAAGGUGAGGCUCGUGAUUGGGACUAAGUCGUAACAAGGUAGC
This 198-nucleotide ribosomal RNA is filed under the name uncultured bacterium. RNAcentral describes it as "partial 16S ribosomal RNA". It matches the Rfam family "Bacterial small subunit ribosomal RNA", at positions 1305 to 1500 of the family's 1533-position model. The record is from RNAcentral.